This 437-nucleotide unclassified non-coding RNA is filed under the name Hevea brasiliensis (rubber tree). Lineage: Eukaryota; Viridiplantae; Streptophyta; Magnoliopsida; Malpighiales; Euphorbiaceae. The record is from RNAcentral.
CAAAUAUCAUGAAGUUGUUUUAACAUUGGAAGUAGGAAAAAAAAUCUUGGACUCAUUUUUGAAGGGAAUGAAUCUCACUUUAUUGAUCAUUUAGCGAAGCAAAUCAUUGAAGAUCGGAACAAGUAUAAAGAAUUCAUUUAAUCAGCAGGUUGCGGCUUCAGCUUUGUUAUUUAAUAGUUCAAGGUGAAAUUCCUUCUCUCCUCAUCUAUCAUUCUUCCCAGCUUUCAAACGAAUGCUCUUCGUUUUCUCAUGGAACUCAAGGGGCCUAUGAGGUGUCAAGAAGAAAUCUCAUUUGAAGAGCUUGAUUGUUUUGCCUUAAGUUUGAUGUAUCGUCUAUAACAGAGACAGGGUAAAUUUGUAUCAUUGUCCAUGAUUCGCAAAAUAUGAGGCUUUUACGAUUUCCAUUGGUGAGCAAUUGAAUUAAUUGGAAGUUCGAG